GAUGAACGCUAGCUACAGGCUUAACACAUGCAAGUCGAACGGGGUUUAAGAAGGAAGCUUGCUUUCAUUUUAAACCUAGUGGCGGACGGGUGAGUAACGCGUGAGGAACCUGCCCUUCAGUGGGGAACAAUAACUAGAAAUGGUUGCUAAUGCCGCAUAAUGUCGGAGAGCCGCAUGACUUUCCGACCAAAGGAUUUUUUUCGCUGAUGGAUGGCCUCGCGUCCGAUUAGGUAGUUGGUGAGGUAACGGCCCACCAAGCCUACGAUCGGUAGCCGAACUGAGAGGUUGAUCGGCCACAUUGGGACUGAGACACGGCCCAGACUCCUACGGGAGGCAGCAGUGGGGAAUAUUGGGCAAUGGGCGAAAGCCUGACCCAGCAACGCCGCGUGAAGGAUGACGGUCUUCGGAUUGUAAACUUCUUUAAUUGGGGAAGAACAAAAUGACCUACCCAAAGAAUAAGUCACGGCUAACUACGUGCCAGCAGCCGCGGUUAAUACGUAAGUGAAAAGCGUUAUCCGGAUUUACUGGGGGCGUAAAGGGCGUGUAGCAGUCUUUGCAGUCAGAGUGAAAUUUCCCUGGAGCUCACUCGGGCGCCUGCCUUUCUGAACCUGCAGACCUUUGAAUUGCUUGGUAGGGGGGGAUAUAACCGGGCA
This 653-nucleotide ribosomal RNA is filed under the name uncultured bacterium. Its description in RNAcentral is "bacterial SSU rRNA". It matches the Rfam family "Bacterial small subunit ribosomal RNA", at positions 28 to 677 of the family's 1533-position model. The record is from RNAcentral.